UUAGCACAAAACAUAACUUAGUUCAGUAAUCAGGCGCUGUUUGACGGGCUUUUUAGAGCACGCGCUUUGGGUGUAUGCGCUCAGAAAAGGCGCUCGUCAGAACAGCACACUGAGUGAAACGUUUAACCAGAUGAUGUGGAUAUAAAGCCUCUGCCAUCGCACUUCCUCAACCACCAUCAUCUUUCUGGAGUUGUGAUGUGACCCCAGACCAAAGCUGCCUCUUCCUUUUGGAUGUUUCUAUGCCUCAUGGUUUAUGCUGCCUGCUGCAUGACGUCGGAUGGGAUCCACUUUUGUCCGGUUGAUAAGGUCAUUGUGGCUCUUCUUGGUCAUAGGCUUGUUAUGGCCUGUUUGGGGUUGAUGCUGAUGGAAAAUCCCAAUUAAAGUAAUGAUACUCUCAGAGGAAAACAGGAAAUUCUCAACAACAUACAGAGAACAGAAGAUGCAGAAAGAGCUAUUUUGCACAUUAUAGCAAAACGAUAAUAAAAAAGCAAACACUUUGAGCAAAUGGGAAGUGGGGACAAUUUGGGGUCUGGUUUGUUAAUUAGUUUGCAGUUGUUCUUUUCCACUCUGUACACAGAAAAACAUUCAAACUGCACAGUACAGACACACUCC
Long non-coding RNA from Onychostoma macrolepis, 612 nucleotides. RefSeq lists it as uncharacterized. Lineage: Eukaryota; Metazoa; Chordata; Actinopteri; Cypriniformes; Cyprinidae. The record is from RefSeq and is a predicted model, not a curated record. The transcript has 3 exons.